This 236-nucleotide long non-coding RNA is filed under the name Elaeis guineensis (African oil palm). RNAcentral describes it as "long non-coding RNA (EGUI_LNC020606)". The record is from RNAcentral. Lineage: Eukaryota; Viridiplantae; Streptophyta; Magnoliopsida; Arecales; Arecaceae.
CGACCUAAUAGGUUUGGGCUAUUGGGUGAUAGAGUUAUUGGAUAUUGGAUUGGAUGGUUUCGGAUUAGAAUUUUUGAGUCAAUUUUUCAGUUUGAGUUAGCCUGCAUGGUUGGGUUAGCUCUAAGUUUCCCAAUAGGGUUCAGUUUGGGCUUAGGGUCUGUGUUAUAAGGUCCUUGUCAAGGUCAGCAUCGGUAGCCUAAUUUAGGGUUAAGGUUUGGCUGGCAGAGGGGAGGGAC